UACAGAGGGGGCAAGCGUUGUUCGGAAUUACUGGGCGUAAAGGGCGCGUAGGCGGCCUGCUAAGUCGAACGUGAAAUCCCCGGGCUCAACCCGGGAACUGCGUCCGAUACUGGUUGGCUUGAAUCCGGGAGAGGGAUGCGGAAUUCCAGGUGUAGCGGUGAAAUGCGUAGAUAUCAGGAAGAACACCGGUGGCGAAGGCGGCUCGCUGGGCCAGUUCUGACACUCAUCCGCGAAAGCGUGGGGAGCAAACAGG
RNAcentral lists this ribosomal RNA (253 nucleotides) under uncultured bacterium. Its description in RNAcentral is "partial 16S ribosomal RNA". It matches the Rfam family "Bacterial small subunit ribosomal RNA", at positions 524 to 776 of the family's 1533-position model. The record is from RNAcentral.